Molecule: ribosomal RNA, 373 nt
Filed under: uncultured bacterium
Lineage: Bacteria
Description: bacterial SSU rRNA
Rfam family: Bacterial small subunit ribosomal RNA
Source: RNAcentral
ACUCCUACGGGAGGCAGCAGUGAGGAAUAUUGGUCAAUGGACGCAAGUCUGAACCAGCCAUGUCGCGUGCAGGAAGACUGCCCCUAUGGGUUGUAAACUGCUUUUAUUACGGGAAGAAAUAUAGCUACGUGUAGUUAUUUGCCGGUACCGUAUGAAUAAGCAUCGGCUAACUCCGUGCCAGCAGCCGCGGUAAUACGGAGGAUGCGAGCGUUAUCCGGAUUCAUUGGGUUUAAAGGGUGCGUAGGCGGAAGUAUAAGUCAGGGUGAAAGUUUGUGGCUCAACCAUAAAAUUGCCUUUGAUACUGUAUUUCUUGAGUACAUUUGAGGUAGGCGGAAUGUGUUGUGUAGCGGUGAAAUGCUUAGAUAUAACACAG